RNAcentral lists this long non-coding RNA (1007 nucleotides) under Carica papaya (papaya). Its description in RNAcentral is "long non-coding RNA (CPAP_LNC014433)". The record is from RNAcentral. Lineage: Eukaryota; Viridiplantae; Streptophyta; Magnoliopsida; Brassicales; Caricaceae.
AUAAACAGAACACUUUUCAGAUAUAGCAUUUCAUAUCUUAUUUUUCUGUCUGCUCUGCAGUUCUUAUCAUUCUUCCUUUAAGCCUUGCUAAUUCCUCUACUUGGUGUCUCCUUUUUAACCAGUUUCUUCUUUUUGCUCUCUCCAUUUUACUGUUUCUUCUUCAACUUUUUGAAGUGCUCAGUGCCUUAGCACCAAAGAAUGUCAAGAAAAAAAAAUUAUAUCAAAGUUUUUUCUAAAGAAAAAAAAAUUUAUCAAAAUGAAGAAAAAUGAGUUACAAUGGCAGAGGCUAAAGUUUUUUUAAUAGACUUUUUCUCCUACUCUCAGGUGUUGUGGCCCUUUCUCUUAUCCUGACUGGUGAUCCACUUAGCUUUUCCUUGUAUGUGAAUGGUUGAUUUAACAUAAAAUAGAUGGAAGGACCAGGGCCAACCUUUUCUUUCCCCUGACCAAGUCUUUCUAUUUUGAAAUUCAGAUAUCAGGGCCCCAACAGCUAGUUAUAGAUCCAUUUGGAAUUUGUAGCAGGCAUGGCAACUCAAAGUUUCCUAUCUCACUCUCUCUCUCAUCCCUAUUUGGAUAAAGAUUAUCCUCUAUCAGAAGAUACAAUGCAAGACCAAACUAAGAGGAUAGAAGAUGAACAAUAUACUGAUUACCUACAUUUGAAUUCAUUCUACACAUUUUUCUCAAAGUAAAUUCCAUGCAAUUGAUUAACAAUAAUUUAUUUUCCGAUAACCCAAGGAAAAAUAAUAAUGAAGUUUCUUAUAUAACGAACUUCUGCCUGGAUUAGGCAACUUCUCUACAUUGCAGUUUAAUCAAAAUUUCCCUUUGAAGACCUAAUUUAAUCAAUUUUAAUGCAUUUCUCCUAAAAAAAUGUUGAUAAGUUUCCAAAAUAAACUAUGUUAGUAUUUAUUGACAAACCUGUGAAACCUGUUUAGCAACAGUAUUUAGAAUAGACUUCCACCUGAGACAUGAGCGGAUCCUGAUAAUUUUCCCUUUGAGCCUUGUGCUCCAUC